Molecule: ribosomal RNA, 301 nt
Filed under: uncultured bacterium
Lineage: Bacteria
Description: partial 16S ribosomal RNA
Rfam family: Bacterial small subunit ribosomal RNA
Source: RNAcentral
CAGUCGCCGCGGGAAUACGGAGGGUGCGAGCGUUAAUCGGAAUUACUGGGCGUAAAGCGUACGCAGGCGGUUUGUUAAGUCAGAUGUGAAAUCCCCGAGCUUAACUCGGGAACUGCAUUUGAAACUGGCAGGCUAGAGUCCCGUAGAGGGGGGUAGAAUUCCAGGUGUGGCGGUGAAAUGCGUAGAGAUCUGGAGGGAUACCGGUGGCGAAGGCGGCCCCCUGGACAAAGACUGACGCUCAGGUGCGAAAGCGUGGGGAGCAAACAGGAUUAGAUACCCCAGUAGUCCCUGUCUCUUAUAC